RNAcentral lists this transfer RNA (91 nucleotides) under Ancoracysta twista. RNAcentral describes it as "tRNA-Ser". It matches the Rfam family "tRNA". From Rfam's summary of the family: Transfer RNA (tRNA) molecules are approximately 80 nucleotides in length. Their secondary structure includes four short double-helical elements and three loops (D, anti-codon, and T loops). Lineage: Eukaryota; Nebulidia; Nebulidea; Nebulidida; Ancoracystidae. The record is from RNAcentral.
GGAGAGAUGGCCGAGUGGCUUAAGGCGGUAGUUUGCUAAAUUAUUGUGCCACCUUUCAGUGGCACCAUGGGUUCGAAUCCCAUUCUCUCCG